This 31-nucleotide non-coding RNA is filed under the name Mus musculus (house mouse). The record is from RNAcentral. Lineage: Eukaryota; Metazoa; Chordata; Mammalia; Rodentia; Muridae.
UCAAACCACAACAGAGGUUUUAGGCAGAAUC